Molecule: long non-coding RNA, 1007 nt
Organism: Acinonyx jubatus (cheetah)
Lineage: Eukaryota; Metazoa; Chordata; Mammalia; Carnivora; Felidae
Exons: 3
Source: RefSeq, a predicted model, not a curated record
UGGGCAACAAGAGGGGGCAUGCAGCCAUCUGAACCAACCACUACCCAGGGAAGUCUGCCCCACCAGGAAAUCAGAACUCCCCAACUGGCCCCCUUGGCUAUGCGUCACGGGUUCUCUACGAACCUCUGUUUCUUUGUCUGCUGAGUGGACUCAGUAAUCCCUACACCAGGCCUGCCCUGAGGUGUAAGAUGUGUGCCCUGAGCUCUGGGCACAGGCCAGCAGGAAGCACCAGCAGGCCUCUCCCCUGGGAUUCUCUCCGAUGACACUCUUCCUGAACAGACAGGGAAACUGAGGCCUGCCAGCAGUCACAGAGCCAGCCAGAGGAGAGCUCAAGUGGCCUUCGGACCACCAUGCAACACCACCCCCCCCACUCCCCACCCCAUCUGCCAGGGAAGGACUUGGCUCUGCAGAGAUCACCAUCACUAAACUCCCUGGACUUGACUAAAGGCUUUAGAACCGUGACCCUAUCAGGUUCUGGACUCCAAACGCGGCUGCUUCCUGGCCCUGAGGCAACACCACCAGCUGAUGCGCCAGCCACUGUGAAUGCUUUCUGGGGCUGGCCACAGGACACACAAAAGGAGCUGAGCGCUCGGUCACUGACGCCCUGACGGUGGCCCUCCUGGGAGCACGGGUGAAGGUGGCACGAGGGCGUUCCCACACACCAAUCUGGCCUCCUCACCCACGUCAGGAGACCCUACGCAAAGCCACACGUGCACUUCCCACCCUGUUUCUAAGUAUCCUCUCCCACAUCUGAGACGGGCACCUGCCAGUCGUCCGGGUGGCUCUCGGCACAUCUCCAUCUGCGGCCCUCUCACCCACGCACCCGGGGGGCACCCGAGGCCAUGGCCCCGGCCUGCCGAGCCUGGAGUGCCUUCUGAGCCAUCCCGGCCACCCUUGACUAUGCACCGCCUUCGCGCUAAGGGCAGAAACCGGAUCCUGAGGCCGUGAGGGUGACGGGCGCGAUCCGGCACACGGGGCUCCAGGAGCCACCCCGCCUCACCGAGGAG